Prosopis cineraria is the source of this 1188-nucleotide long non-coding RNA. RefSeq lists it as uncharacterized. The transcript is spliced from 6 exons. The record is from RefSeq and is a predicted model, not a curated record. NCBI's taxonomy places the organism in Eukaryota, Viridiplantae, Streptophyta, Magnoliopsida, Fabales, Fabaceae.
UCUCAAGAAUGCCACCGCCUUAUUUUCUUUUUCUCCGGCGACCUCGCUUCGCUAAUUCGCUCGUCCCGGUUCCCUCCUCCAGAUUGCUUUUUGUUUCUAACCGAUGAUCACCAAGAAUGGAGGAUUCCCUUUUCAAAUCUGGCUCUCUGGCACAGGGGCGACGCUCGGAUCGUUUCAGUCUUUGUAAUCUUACACGCUGGGGUUUUCAUAGCUACCAUGCUCCUCAAUGGAGGACUCCUUUUUAGUUUGCUCGUCCCGGGUCCCUCCUUCAGAUUGCUCCGAGAAAAAAAUGUCAGUAAAAUUAAAUUUGGAGGAGGAGAGGGCAAGGGCGAAUGGAGGUCGAGGACAGAGUAGUGUGAAGGCGAUGCUACCUGACGACAAUAAAAUUUGGAGGUUAGUGAGGACAAAACAAGCGAAGAAUGCCCUGGUGUCAUCUCCUGUGCUGAUAUUGUAGCCAUUGUUGCUCGUGACUCUAUUGUUCUUUUAUAUUGAAGCUUGGAGGACUUGCCUGGAAAGUAAAGCUGGAAAGAAGAGAUUCAAAGACAGCAUCUAGCUUGGCUGCUGCAAACAUUAAAUCUCCUUUUUCUUCACUCAGCACUCUCAUCUCCAACAUUAAAUCUCACGGCCUCUCUGCUAGGGGACAUGGUUGCCUUAUCUGAUCUUGAUAUUGAUGUUGAGCAUAUCUUGAAGGAUUGCAUGUUUGGUUGUUUGAGAUCACACCUUCAACUUUAAGUGCUUGAAGCACUUUAAAUUAGAGCUUGAGUCUCUUCAGUGAACAAGCUAACCUGAGCCUAUGUAAGAACCGAUUGGUAUCAUUGAAGGGCAAGCUAACUUGGAUGCACAAUUUAAUGGAAUAGCUCAAGAGGUAUGGACAGAGAAAAACACCUAAAGGCUUAGAAACGCGAUCCUUUUAUAGUAGGUCUCCUUAUUUUGAGUAAACUUAUGUGUAUGACAAUUUCAAUUGUCAAUUAGGAAUUCUCAUUUGUUCCUUACUUGCAUUAUAUGAGUUGUAUAUUGUAAGUGUAUUUUGGGCCUUAGGGAGUGAGUUGACGAAUAUGUGUUAUUAUGAUAGGGCCAAAAUACUAAUACAAGUAAGAGUAGAGCAUAUUAUGAGAUAGUUUGGGAGAACUUGAUGAAAAUUGUGGUAAACUCCCUUUUUUAUGUUUUUGAGUUUAAAGAGUUGAAUAG